CACACACACACACACACAAAUACACAAACUAUACACCUUUCCCAUAAAAUUUGGGGGUAGGGUGGGAAAAGAAGCUAAAUCAAGCUCAAUCCCCCCACUCUGGUCUCUUCUUUCCCAAUACCCCAGUGCCACUGUGGGUGAUUAUACUGGCCCUACGGGUCUUCCUGGGUUUUUUCUUUCUUCCCUUUCCCUCAAAUGUAUUGAGCACUUAAUAAAGGAGCAGAGAUACAACUGUGUCUGGGCUCUCCAAGUGGUGAAAUGACCUGGAAGCUAGAUGCUAGUAACAAGUAGUUUGAGCAGGUCAUUUCAAGUAUUUUUCUGGGGAAUGUGGUGCCCCUGACUGUAAGUGGUGGGGGAGGGGGGCUAAUGGAGCUGGGGUUGGGAUUAUUUUAAAAUUAUAUAUAUAUAUAAAAAGAUAUAUUCUUACAUCUUUUCCUUGCCCUCUGUGCUUUGAAAGCACUGAAUAAAUUGAUCUGUUUUUCUCUUCCACAAAAUUGGAAGAUUUUUUUUUCUUCCAUUUUUUAAAUGUUCUUACCAGUCAUCUUGCCUCGUGGCAUGUCUGUCUAACCUCUCCCUACCCCGUGAUGAAGUGCCAUUUCUGUUAAGUCUCCCUGACCCCCAACUCAGAGGUGCUCAGAGGUACAAGGUGCCCAAGUUUGUCAGUUGAGAUUAAAAGGAACAGAGAAUGUGCAAUACCGUCCAGCUGGGGCCUGUCCUUGCCCUGAGCUAGGUCCUCUCCCUGGGAGCCAGGCCACUUUGACUAGGGUUUGGAGGUAAGAUGUAUGGAAAUGGGGAGUGGUGGCAAGGAGAGCCUAUAGUUCAGUGCCUGUUUAGGUGCUGAGGCCAUAGGGAAGAGGGUAGGGUCUUCCCUGUUUUUAUCCCUUCAGGGUCAAUUACAUAGAAGCUGCUUAUAAUACUAGUAUAGCUCUGUGGCCCUUUGCUCAGUCACUGAGGUUUGAUUUCUCAUCCUCUUUCCCUAUCAUCAUACUCUUCCCAGGAAUUAGCAAGAGGGGUGAAAUCUUUCUUAAUCAUGGUAAAGUAUUAGCCUUCCAUCUCCUCCCUUAGGUUCUGCCCUGUCCCCCUUUCUUAAAGCCUCUACAUUUUACAUCACUGAUUGCCUUGUGUCCUUCCAAGACUUUUUUUUGUUUUUGUUUUUUGUUUUAAUUAACUCCCAUCCUCCAGCUGUGGGCCCUUGUAGACACUAGCCCUCACGCCCUAAGGAUAGGAGGAAAGACCCUGAGUUCAGUGUUCUUUACCACUGGACUCAAACUCUCAGCUAUCAGUAGAGUGGGGAUCAAACCAGUACAAUCUAGCUUCCUCUAGACCUUGAGGCACUACAAGCAGUCAUUCAUGGAUGGUGUCUUAUUCCACAGCAACCUGAAACGGGUGGAUUAGUGGCAAGGCUGGGGUAAAAUUAGGAGACAGAAGUCCUUAUUUGUCGGUUUUAUUUUGUCAGUAGACCACAACAUCUGAACUCCCUCCAUUGCUGAAUAAGUAUUUUUCCUGCAUUAUGAGAUAUAUGUAUGGUAGACAUUUCUUUUUAAAGACCCCGAGAUAAAUGUUUUCCUGCCUUGGUUACCUUUCCUUUCCCCUUUAAGAGGAAUUAGCUAUAGAACCGCUUUGUAAAGAUGCUUCUUGAUAUUUUACUUUUGUUCCUUUCCCCAACCAUUCCCACUUCCCCUUCUCUCCACAGCCCCGAUCCCACUCAUCCUAGGCUCCCUUCCUUUCCAUCAAGAUCUUCAUUAGCUUAUGAUAUUUGCUGCCGAGAUGUUAUAACAAGGACUCAUUCAUGUAUAUAAGCUAUUUCUUGAUCCAUUUAAAAGGAAUUGUACAUUGUGUAGAAAAAAAAAAAACAUGAAAAAGAGAAAAAAAAAAAAAGCCCUAGCCAUGGAUAUUGUGAAACUGUGUUAUGUCAUUUUGUAAUGUGCCCGUUUGUGUAUGAUCCGUGCAAAAGGGUUUCUGGGGAAGGGGAGGGUGGAGGGAGGCAGGACUGUGGAGGGUGGGGAGAGGAGUGGGCCGGGCCCAGCACACUGAGACUGGCAGCUGCUCCAACCCCAUCCCUCCCUUAAAGAUGCCACCUCCCCCACCACCCACCCCUAUUUUGUGCCUUGCCCUCCCCACCCUGGAGUAAUCUCUCCAGGUCACCAGCACUGCCUUGGCAGAGCCCACUCCCUACCCCAGCCUGCCCACUCUUCCUACCCCAGCAUUAGGUUGAUAAUGUGGGAAAGUGCUGGAGGUUGGGAGGUAGCCGAGGAAUGGGGCAGUUCCUGGGGGCAUUGAAACCAAGUAUUAUUAUGAAUUGUAAUUGUAUUUGCACUGUUUUCCCCCUCUGAUUGCAUCAGCAUAUAUACAAUAUACCUAUAUAACAAAACCCAGUGUCAAAGCUUUCUUAUGCAAGGGAUUUUCCCAACCCUUCAGAAAAAGAACCUCAUGGACUUCUAAAAGGGUAGGUUGUCAGGAGAUAGUAGAAUAGUAGAAAGAAAGAAUUUUAAUUGUCCUAAGGAAGUUCUGUCCGAACCAUUUAAGGAUAUGUGAUUGAGUUGAGGCUGUCUCCUGUAAAUUAUAGGGCUCCAGGUCCAGGACAGUACAAAGAAUCCAGGACACAAGGAGGCACAGUGUGGAUACCUGGGGCCUACUGACUUGCUGGGUGAGCUUUGGUGAAACUGGUAUCUUCAACCAGUGAAUCGAGGGAGAAAACCACUGACCUCCAUGCUCUAAAUUCCACAAUUCUUCCCCCAUCUGCCAAAAAGCAAAAAGCACCUUGAGAUGAGGGAAGUGCUGGGCUGAGAGACCAGGGAGGAAACAAAAGUGGCGUGCUAGUGUUACUUGUGUGACUGUAAAGUUUGGAAAGUUGCCAGUCCCUUGGUUCAGGAUUGGUAUGGGAGAAGUAGUGAUACAGGGUGCUGGGCUGAUGGCAUCUUGGCCCUUGUGUUUCUAGCCAUGUUGUGACCAGCCUCCAAGCCUCACCUCACAAUCACAAUCCUUAAGGGUGGUUAACCAGCAAACACCCCCCAGGUUGGUAAUCUAGUUGUGAGCUAUAGGAUGUGGAAAUUUCCCUCAUCUUGGUAACAAGUAGGGCUCAGAUGUAGCCCAUAUCUUUCCUUCCCUCAGAUCUCAUCUGAACCCCCAAAGGCAACUGUUCCACAGUCUGUCUCCUUCAAAGGCCCAGUUUAUCCCUCCCCCCAGCCCCCCACCCCACCCCACCCCCAAUUUCCUGAGCUGAGUAUUUCUAUUCUCUAGUUAUUGCCAUUAAAGCCUGGAAAAAACAUAGGUUGAUGGGUGAGGCCUUGGUGAAGGUGGAGGAUAGAUUGGGGUGGGUGGUGGGGAGCAGGGAGGUGGGGUGGCAAUGGCCUUCCCUGAAUAGGGUGGGUGGGAGGGAACAAGACCCUUUUGCACAACUCUCUUUUAAGUUUCCUUUUUUUCUUUUCUUUUUUUUUUUUUCUUUUUUUAACUCAUUCUAAUUUUCUGCAUUGUGUUUGGGAAAUAAAAUGAAAAAAAAAAACAAACUAAGACCAAUAGGAACUGGUUUUCAAAAGGUAAAUACACUCCCAUCUGUUUCAGAGGCUGCUGAGCAUUUCAGCAGUGAAGAUUCAAAUAAUAAGCUAAUUUUUGGAGAAAGGAUUAAAAGAAAAAACUUUGUAAUAUUUAUCACUUGCAAGCUAUGUUUAAUAAAGAAAGGAAUGGUUUCU
Molecule: long non-coding RNA, 3689 nt
Filed under: Mus musculus (house mouse)
Lineage: Eukaryota; Metazoa; Chordata; Mammalia; Rodentia; Muridae
Description: long non-coding RNA chr3:90359712-90363401
Source: RNAcentral